Molecule: unclassified non-coding RNA, 155 nt
Filed under: soil metagenome
Description: partial internal transcribed spacer 1
Source: RNAcentral
UCGAGUCUAAAAAACUCCCUAAACCAUUGUGAACUUACCUAUUCGUUGCUUCGGUGGGCGACCCCUCUAGGGGUCCUUGGUCGCAAGGCGCCCGCCGAAGGUUAUUUAACUCUUGCUUUUUUAUUGUCACAUCUGAGUUAUUACAAAGAUAAUCA